UGGGGCGUCGCCAAGCGGUAAGGCAGCGGUUUUUGGUACCGCCAUUCGGAGGUUCGAUCCCUCCCGCCCCAGCCA
This 75-nucleotide transfer RNA is filed under the name Micavibrio sp. RNAcentral's name for it is "tRNA-Gln". It matches the Rfam family "tRNA". Rfam says of the family: Transfer RNA (tRNA) molecules are approximately 80 nucleotides in length. Their secondary structure includes four short double-helical elements and three loops (D, anti-codon, and T loops). Lineage: Bacteria; Pseudomonadati; Bdellovibrionota; Bdellovibrionia; Bdellovibrionales; Pseudobdellovibrionaceae. The record is from RNAcentral. RNAcentral also lists the same sequence under 3 other names.